This 870-nucleotide ribosomal RNA is filed under the name uncultured archaeon. RNAcentral describes it as "bacterial SSU rRNA". It matches the Rfam family "Archaeal small subunit ribosomal RNA", at positions 4 to 882 of the family's 1478-position model. The record is from RNAcentral.
CUGGUUGAUCCUGCCAGACCCGACUCCUAUCGGAUUGGGACUAAGCCAUGCGAGUCAACUCCGCAAGGGGUGGCGCACGGCUCAGUAACACGUAGUCAACCUACCCUGGGGACGGGGAUAACCUCGGGAAACUGAGGCUAAACCCCGAUGGGCCAUGGCUCCUGGAAUGGGCUAUGGCUGAAAUCUACAUGGCCCCAGGAUGGAACUGCGGCCGAUCAGGUUGUUGGUGGGGUAAUGGCCCACCAAGCCUAUAACCGGUGCGGGCUCUGAGAGGAGGAGCCCGGAGAUAGGCACUGAGACAAGGGCCCAGGUCCUAUGGGGCGCAGCAGGCGCGGAACCUCCGCAAUGGGCGAAAGCCCGACGGGGUCAGUCCGAGUGGUUCCCGCUGAGGGAACCUUUUGCCAGCUGUAAACAGGCUGGCGAAUAAGGGGUGGGCAAGUUUGGUGUCAGCCGCCGCGGUAAUACCAGCACCCCGAGUGGUCGGGACGAUUAUUGGGCCUAAAGCAUCCGUAGCCGGCCCAGUAAGUCCUCCGUUAAAUCCAACGGCUCAACCGUUGGGCUGCGGGGGAUACUGCUGGGCUAGGGGACGGGAGAGGCGAGGGGUAUUCCCGGGGUAGGGGUAAAAUCCACUGAUCCCGGGAGGACCACCAGUGGCGAAGGCGCCUCGCUAGAACGUGCCCGACGGUGAGGGAUGAAAGCUGGGGGAGCGAACCGGAUUAGAUACCCGGGUAGUCCCAGCCGUAAACGAUGUAGGCUCGGUGUUGGGCUGCCUCAGUGGCAGCCCAGUGCCGCAGGGAAGCCGUUAAGCCUACCGCCUGGGGAGUACGGACGCAAGGCUGAAACUUAAAGGAAUUGGCGGGGGAGCACCAC